AGAAUAGAGAUUUGGUGUUGAUA
This 23-nucleotide non-coding RNA is filed under the name Arabidopsis thaliana (thale cress). The record is from RNAcentral. Lineage: Eukaryota; Viridiplantae; Streptophyta; Magnoliopsida; Brassicales; Brassicaceae.